GACAGAGGGGGCAAGCGUUGCUCGGAAUCACUGGGCGUAAAGCGCGCGUAGGCGGUUACUCAAGUCGGAUGUGAAAGCCCUCGGCUUAACUGAGGAAGUGCACCCGAAACUGAGUAGCUAGAGUACUAAAGAGGGUCGCGGAAUUCCCGGUGUAGAGGUGAAAUUCGUAGAUAUCGGGAGGAACACCGGUGGCGAAGGCGGCGACCUGGGUAGAUACUGACGCUGAGGCGCGAAAGCGUGGGGAGCAAACAGG
This 253-nucleotide ribosomal RNA is filed under the name uncultured bacterium. RNAcentral describes it as "partial 16S ribosomal RNA". It matches the Rfam family "Bacterial small subunit ribosomal RNA", at positions 524 to 776 of the family's 1533-position model. The record is from RNAcentral.